GUAGGUGGCAAGCGUUGUCCGGAAUUAUUGGGCGUAAAGCGCGCGCAGGCGGUUCUUUAAGUCUGAUGUGAAAGCCCACGGCUCAACCGUGGAGGGUCAUUGGAAACUGGAGAACUUGAGUACAGAAGAGGAAAGCGGAAUUCCACGUGUAGCGGUGAAAUGCGUAGAGAUGUGGAGGAACACCAGUGGCGAAGGCGGCUUUCUGGUCUGUAACUGACGCUGAGGCGCGAAAGCGUGGGGAGCAAACAGGGAUUAGAUACCCUGGUAGUCACGCCGUAAACGAUGAGUGCUAAGUGUUAGGGGGGUUUCCGCCCCCUUAGUGCUGCAGCUAACGCAUUAAGCACUCCGCCUGGGGAGUACGGCCGCAAGGCUG
This 373-nucleotide ribosomal RNA is filed under the name uncultured organism. Its description in RNAcentral is "partial 16S ribosomal RNA". It matches the Rfam family "Bacterial small subunit ribosomal RNA", at positions 527 to 896 of the family's 1533-position model. The record is from RNAcentral.